UUCCACAGCGCCGGGUCUGCAGCUGUUCAUGGUGGCACUUGUGGCAUUCCUCUGUGGGAAAGAAAUUGUUACACGAUUACACACCUCUGUCUCUGCAAAACAGAGAGUGGGUAUCUGUGUGACAAACACAA
Small nucleolar RNA from Myotis lucifugus (little brown bat), 131 nucleotides. Ensembl annotates it as small nucleolar RNA SNORA41. The record is from Ensembl. Lineage: Eukaryota; Metazoa; Chordata; Mammalia; Chiroptera; Vespertilionidae.